This is a long non-coding RNA of Myripristis murdjan (pinecone soldierfish), 4539 nucleotides long. RefSeq lists it as uncharacterized. The record is from RefSeq and is a predicted model, not a curated record. Lineage: Eukaryota; Metazoa; Chordata; Actinopteri; Holocentriformes; Holocentridae. The transcript is spliced from 2 exons.
CAAUAAAAAGAAUACAGAUAAAAAUAAUAGAGUACCUAUAAAAUUAUAAAAUUAUAAUAUUAUCAUCACAUUAGCCUACAGAUGCUGCUAACCCUCCAACAGUGAGAAUGUAAAGAUCAUGAGUGAAAAGGUCAGUCCUAUUCAUAUUUCUUAUUAAAAUUUUGACCCGAGGUAGCACAUGAAUGCCACACCGAGUCGCACAGACGUGAUGCUACGCUUUGACAUUUCAGACUUUUGUGUGGAUUAAAAUACAUUUUAGGCCGUGCGAUACGAUAUUAUCACUAUUAAAGUCACCGUGCGACAGUAUUGCGGUUUUAUACAUCAUGCAGUAUGCUCAGUAUUGCAAUAACAUGUAUUGUGAUUUACCUUUUUAUUCUUUUUAUCCUUUUUAUUCCACUGCAAAUUGUGUCUCCAGAGGAUAAAACAGCGAGUGUUUUAUCUGAAAAGAGAGCAGGUUUCACUCAGUUCAUCUCACCUCAGGCUGACCGGCUCUGGCAGAAAAAAAAAAAAAAAAAAAAACUCACAAAUGUUGCAUCGAUACUUUGCGUCGUGUAUCGAUACAAUAUUGCCGCACAAAAUAUCAAGGUUCAAUUUAUUGUCGUAACAAACAAAAAAAAAAAAAAAACAUGUUGGGAAAGGAAUUCAUUACCCAGCUCCAGCAGCGUACAUAAUAAAUAAUGAAUAACUAAAAAACAGAUCAAAAUAAAUCAAGAAUAAAUCAAUAAAUUACUUAUGCUUAAUAAUACUUAUGCAAUACUUAUGCUGUAUUGAUCAGUUUAAUCAGAUAACAGGUCAGUGAGCCACAGCUGAAAUUUUGACACACAUUUUUUUUUUUUUUUUUUUUUUUUGUAAAUCACUGAAAAACAGGCUGAAAUGAAAGCCGCCGCUGACGUUGAGCUUUACACGGCAGCGUCUCUGGUGCUGAGAUCUCAACCACAUCAAUGAAACCGGAUUUUUUUUUUUUUUUUUUUUUUUACUUUUCAAACUUUGUGGAGAGCGUCCGGCCCGUCCCGUGAAGCCGUCGAGGACACGAAGGCGGCGUAACUCAGCCGAUGAAAGCUUUCCUGUCUCCAGAGCCGAGCUGUGUGCGGAGCCGCCACGCAAAGCGCCGAGCGUGCAGUCUGAGGCCCCCACCUGGACAUGAGCCGCAGUAUUACCCACAAUGCCAUGUGCAUGUAAACACACUCUGUGCAUCUCUCCUGCGUUAGGAGAACAGUAGAGGGUCUGUGCCAGUAUUAUUAUUAUUAUUAUUAUUCUUAUGAUGAUUAUGAUAUUAGAAAAUGUACUUGAGGCAGUGAUACGUAGGUGAUAUGGCCAAAAUAAGGUUGAAAAGCUAAAGUACUGUAUGUGUGUGGUGGUCGACGUGCUAACCUUCAGGAUCAUAAGGAUCGUUUCAGGUGCGUAAAGGUCCAGCUAAUACACAGCGGGAUGGGGAGGGGGGAGGGGAGGGGGGGGCGUCCACUCAUUGGCACGGCAACAAAACUAAAACUUAAAAAAAAAAAUCUAUACUUUUUUAUGCUUUUUAAAACCAAAUGCUCUUUUCCCAGCUCCGCCCUUCGCUUCACAGCCACACAGUGAGACGUGUAAUCAACGCUGGGAGCUGCAGUGACAAUAAAACGCUGAGAUGAUCCACCCAGAAACAUAAAAAUAGCUACCUUUCAUCAUCAGUCAUGACUUUUUUGGUUUCUGACACGCUGGAAACUGGUCUGAACACUCAGCGAGACGGCUUCAAGUGCUUCUGUGAACUUGGAAAAACAAGUGCUCUUUGGGGUUUUUUGUUUUGUUUUUGGGUUUUCUUUUUUUUUUCUUUUUUUUUUCCAGAUCUUGAAAAUGUAUCGCACCUGGGAUGUGACGUUUAAUCGCCGGUGUUUUUUUCCAACUGGAAAGGUGCAGAAACAGUGUGGACUCCAGCACAAAACCCAAAGUCAGCUCCAGGAGUUCACUGCAAACUGACAUCAAACUGAAAAAGCUCUGCUGCUGCGGAGCCUCUGGAGCCGACGGGCCUCUUUUCCUCCGAGGGGUCAGAGGUCAGAGGUCAGGAUGGGCUGGGGAGGGCUCAGUUUGAACAGUUUGAACAAGUGAUGGUAAAGUCCUGCUGGUUAUUUAAGGAGAUGUUAAAGGAAACUGCAGCGUUUUGGGCAAAACACCCCCCGGUCCUGACUCUGCCCCGGGCUCAGACCAGAUGUUGGACACCGUUCUCACCAGUCGUUCACUUCCUAUGCCGAGCCCUUUCUGUUAGCUUAGCAUAAAGACUUGAAGUCUAUGGGAGUUGUUAGCCUGGCUCGGUCAAAGUGAAUAAAAUAGACCUUCCAGCAGACUCUCGUCUCAGUCUGGGGAAUUUGCCCAAAAUGUUGGAGUAUUUCUUUUGCAUAAAAAUAAAUGAAUAAAUAAAUAUAAGAUACAGCAGGGGAAAAGAGACGAAAUAUGACCCUAUGGGCUUUCCAUAGCUCACAAGCCUGUUGAAUCCCUCCCAGCUUCAAACCCUGACCUCCGACCUGAGGAGAGCGAAGAGGAGCAAUAAAGUGUCACGAUUAUCACUUUUAUUAUUUUUUAGAUGUAGGCCAAAAGAAUAAAGAAGAAGUGAACAAUCCCUUUUUGCUCAUGAGAAUCACGUUGGCGUCCUGCUCAACGAAAAACGUUUAAGAAUGAAAAUCAGAUUUUUAACCACCUGAUCUAUAUUGCUCUAUGUCUCUCUCUCUCUCUCUCUCUCUCUCUCUCUCUCUCUCUCUCUCUCCCUCUCUCUCUUUUUUUUUUUUGGUAAAUCUGUGCUGCUGUUCUCUUUCCUCUGGCUGUCGGAUGAAAUAUAAAAUAUGAAAUAUGAGACUUGUUCCAGGGAUGAACACCAUCAGCAGUGUCCGAUCUGACUGUGAUCAUGUUCAUGUAAGACGAGUAUUUUGUCCAGACGGUGCUGCCGUAGGUGUCGGUUUGGUGUCAGAAAAGAACGCAGAUGAGCCGCAAGUGACUCACUGAAGUAUUUUAAGUGUUUUUAUUUCAGAGUGACGGACGGAUGGGGUUUUUAUUUUUUUUUUUCCACAAAUGAAAUCAGAUCAAGUCUCCGUCACAGAGCGAGAGACAGACGGAGAGCGAGCGUCUUGCCUUGUCCUCCCUUCAGUCGCCGCGCUGCUUUGACCUUUGACCUUCUCCAGGCCUUCAGGACUCGCUCAUGGAGACGCCGCCAUGUUGGAGGAGCGGCCGGCUGCUCUGGGAUCUGCUGUCUCUGCUCCCAGAGAGCGACGGCUGUCUGUAGGAAACCCAGCAGAGACGUGAGACUCUGCCCUCGCCGUGGCCGUAGAGACUGACAGUAUUGUUGACAUCCAUCGUGACAGGGCAGGCACCUGAUUGGUCGCUGUGUUCCACCAAAAUGAAUUAAAAUCUUUGGCGCGCUGCUAAAAUCGCUGACACGAUUGGAAGCUAAGAACGUUAAUGCUACGCUAAGCAGACGUGAGCUGAGUUCAUCUUUAUUAGCUUUGUUUUUGUAAACAAAGUUAUUGAAUCAUUUUCUCCCAAAAUCAACAUUUAUUUAAAAAAAAAAAAAAAAAAAACACAAAGUUAUUCUCCCAGUUGUUUUAUUGAUUUUCCCGUGAGAACAGAACCUGUGUCCGUUAGCCGUGCAUCGGCUCUGAUGUAAACAAACUCUCCCGCCGACGCCGUGACGUCACUGGAAGCUGUACAGCUGUUGCCAUGGCAACACGGGCCACCCGGAAACACUCUGACCUGCUGUGAACCAAAGGCCCGUUCGGUUUCUAUGGUUACUGUUUUUUUUUUUUUUUUUAAACCUUUCUUCAUGCAGAGCAAGGCGACAGAGCCGGGCCAGCCUGUGCCUUGCUCAAGGGCACUGCGGUCAGUGGCAUACUUGCCAUUUGUAAACCCGACGUUUACGAAGGAGCGCAUCGAUUUGAAUCGGCAAGCAGCCCCAUUCACCACGGCGACGUCUCCCAUCAUGCAACUGGUCUUCAACCAUCUCACAACUGGAACCAACCUCAUUACAUUUUCUGCUCAAAAAUGUAAAAGAAAACCUUUUAUCUGAGUUUUUACUCAUAAUUUUGUCUGUUCAUUGUUUUUUUUGUUUUUUUCCCCUCUACCAUGGCCCUAAAACACCAUCGCACAAAACAUGUAGGCCUAACCCUAACACAGCUGGGAUAACAGAAUUGGGUCGAUCAUCGCUGUUUGUUUGUUUGUUUGUUUGUUUUAUUUCCCAUCUGCAUUGUUUCAAUAUGUUUCCCAGAUGUCACGGCCUUCAGGAGAAGAAAAGUAGGUCCUUUUUUACAGUUUUAACCCCUUAAAUCCCCGACGACAUGAGAGAGAAACACGCCAUGCGCUCUGGACAGAGGGCGAGGGGUUAAACUGACAGUGGACCAAGCACACACCUUUCAAGUGUUACGAGGUUUUCUGAAUCGAGAUUUAUUAUUUUUUUUUCUUUCUCCUCUGCCUGGUUCUGCUCUUCAGUUGAUGAAGUCACCAUGUUUGUCUGAAGCGCCACCUGUCUGUCAGCGUUACGAAAUAAACGGAAAAUAUGUCCAACGAGACAACAGAGCGGGA